ACAAAAUGAAAUAUCUUUGCCUCAACAAAAAAAUGAAAUGUAUCAUAGUCUUAUCAAUUAAUAGAAACUCAUGCUAAAAAAAGUAUAUACCAAAAAACAAUUAUUACAUGAUCUCUAAAACAAAUGGUUUGGUCGAUUACAUGAACAAACAACACAAAGGUUAUUCAAUGAUGGAAAAAACAUUUGACCAAUGAUUUACCAAGUGAGAUUUUAAUUUCCUUUUUCCCUUCAGGACCUUAGCAAUGCAGCCAGUCUUAGCUUAUUUCGUUUUGAAAUCCACCAAAUAUUUCAGGGACAAUUACAUUUGUGCCCCUAACUGGAACCCACUACUCAAUUUUCCUGUAAUUUCAAAGCAUGCUCAAAUUUUAACCUCUGCUAUUAGUUGCCCUUAUAGAAAUGCUCUUCUGCGCCAUUACCGUCCGGUCAAACGCUGCAUGAGCCGCAGUGGAGGUCGACGUAGAUGAGGAGCUCAUGCGUCUACCACACGCCAUCGACACAUUGAAGUGUUGAUAUAGACGUCCUUGUCACUCUUGAGCUCCUGGUUGCCAUUCUCGAGGUCAAAGAAAGCGAACAGAGAUUUAACCACCACAAGCAUGUCAAACCUUGAGAAACACAAACGAAAGAGCAUAACAGAAAAAGUAGCAUGCUGAAGAAAGAAAGGAAAGAGAUGCAGGUAAUUCCUAUGCUUGAUAUAUCAAAAACAAGGCGAGGAUUGUUAUACCUACCAGCACUGAAUCUACCAGUAGUCGCCGCAUGGACAUACACCAUCCUUCAUGUGAUGGAAGCAGGAGUUGGAGAACUCGGCCCUGCCACAUACUGUGCCCUGCUCACUACUUCCCUGGCAUUAAAACCAAACAAAGAAACCAAAAUCAACCCUUUACCUAGGUUCUCUACAGAAACUCGUCUUUAAAAAACUUCAGCGGGAGAUCCAAAGAAAACGCCCUGCAUCUGCACCCCCAUAUCGUCCCCGUCCUCCGCGGGCUUCAGUACUAAACUACUAUAAAGAUGUCUACCAACAAUUCUAAUUAGAUAGAGGUAAUUAUGUGUAAACAUAAAUGAAUUCCUAAACAACAUGGAUGUAUUUUUUGAUAAAGAGCAACAAGAAGACAAACCAGAUAAUUAGUAUACAAGUCGAAAAGAAUAUCUGAGAAACAAAGGUGCGUUGUUAUAAGGUCGCAGACGUGUUUGUGGUUAGACGGUGAUCCUGACUUUUUGCUCAGUUUCGUAGUUGGAGAGAAUAUAGCUGGUCAUUUCGGUUAAUGGAAUAGAAUGUACUCCAUCUAAAAAACACAUGUUUGUACCCUAGCACAGGAGCAUUGCUCACUGAUCUUCCAUAUUUCAGAUUUAUAUGUUAAUAUUUUGAUUAUUACAUAACCUUCUCAAAGUCUCUCUGACUCUACAAAAUCAAGCAAGAACCAGAAGAUGCUAGCAGAGAAUUUAAUCCAACAUUAUGCUCUACUUAGCCUGACAUACACUGCUGAAACUUGAACAAUGAUUCUAACACAAGUCUGCAGCAUGAAGAGUUCAUCGUGUACUCAAGCGAGAAGGUUAAUUCUGCCACAGACCAAACGUUCAUUGCAGCAGCCCCACGAGCAACAAAACCAGCCAAUCACACAGAAACUUGGUAGGGUUAUGUAGCAAUCUCCUAAGAAAUCCUGUUCACCAAAUACCAAGGAGAUAACUUGGCCCAAGAGAAUCUAGCGGCUAAUUCAGUAACGAGAGGUGGACCUGAAAUUAGGUAGUUGCUACACGCGGGGGGCAAACAAAUCUCUCACCUCCUCUUCCUCCUCGUCCCCUGCGGCGGGCUUGACGGGCACGACAUCGAACGAGUCAUACUCCCCGCCGUCCCCAUCAUCGCCGCCGCCGGCAACGCUGUUGCUGCGACCGCUGGAGGAGGAGGCGGCGGCGGAGGACGAGGAGGAUGAGGACAGGGAGGAAGAGCCGGACGAGGCGCCGCCUCUGCCUUCGGCCUCGGCUUCGGCGCCGUCGUAUUCCUCGUCGAAGACGUGGACGUCCUGCUCCGCGAAGUCCACGGUCGGGCGGGCCGGCGAGGGUUCCUGGUUGGGGGUCAGUGGGGGGCCGGCGAGAUGUCAGGGGGCAUCGAGGGAGAGGGGAGGAGGCAGCGGCGGCGAGAGAAAGGGGUCGUGCAGAGACCCCUCGGGCUAGGUCUUGCCCAAGUGCUUUGGAUCUCUCCUAUCCCUCCGUUUUUUUCCUAUCGCUAGCACAGUAAAAGACACGUGGACAUAACCGUAACUCGCCCUUGUAGCGACUGUUAAUGGGUUGUACUAGUGGUUGGGGCGCCACCCGGUGGCGCCGCCUGAGAGGAAGCUGGGCGGUGCCAGGUGGGAGGCGCCCCUUCCACUUUACUUUUUAUAUGUAGUGUUAUUGCAUAGAAAUAAGGAAUUUCAGAUCAUCAGGAACAAAAUAGAAAGUUCAUUACACACUUGACCAGUUAACUAUGAAACACUUCUUUGGUUAUUUUCUUCUGUAUUUUAUAGUAAAAAAAUCAAGCUCCUCUGAUACCUCACUUGCCUACAGGAAACAACCAUGUCAGUUAUUGAGGAUUAUUCGUUCUAUACCUUGAGCAUUUUAAAGAGGGGUUUGUCAUGUAUUUGCUCCACAGAGUUGUCUGUUGUGUAUAUGCAAUUUCUCACUUUCUAAAGAAGGUGCUUUUUCAGCAGUUUGACUGUUCAGUUGUGGACAUGCAUCACAUCUUCACUUUGAAU
This 2726-nucleotide long non-coding RNA is filed under the name Triticum aestivum (bread wheat). RNAcentral describes it as "long non-coding RNA (TAES_LNC005399)". Lineage: Eukaryota; Viridiplantae; Streptophyta; Magnoliopsida; Poales; Poaceae. The record is from RNAcentral.